Molecule: non-coding RNA, 585 nt
Organism: Pelobates cultripes (western spadefoot toad)
Lineage: Eukaryota; Metazoa; Chordata; Amphibia; Anura; Pelobatidae
Source: the annotation of a GenBank genome assembly
GCUGGCAAUUCUAAAUUUCAUUUUGACCCACAACUUAUUUUUUUCCUUUUUUCUAAUGGGAGUAUCUACCUACAGACGAGGGACAGCUAUAGAAAAAUGCAGUGCCUUUAUACAAUUUGUACCUGGCACGAUGAGAGGCAACUUGUGUGUUUAUUCCCUAUUUGCAAAAAAUAACUCUCAACAUCAUAAUGUCAUUAAUGAAUCAGUACCACAACAUUGUGUUGUGGACCUGACCAAUAUCCUUAUUUUAUCAUGGAACAUUUGAACGACAACUCUAUAGGACUUAAAUUAACCUCGGUAGUAUAUGAGAAGGAACUAGUGUUUCUAGAUCUGAUGAUCUCUCUAGAUGAAGCAAUUUCUGUAAAUAAAGAUGAGUCAAUUUCCAUCCAGUAUCCUUAAGGGGUCCCAUAAUGGUGAAUUAGGCAUGUCCCCCCUACAUUUUUUGUCUUCUGUAAAUAAUUUAUAAAUAUUUAAAUUCAUGCAUCCAUUUACAAAAGACUAAGAAAGAAUAAAAAUGUAAUUGAAAUAUAUAUAUUUUGAUGAUUUAUUUUCCCCUUUUAUUUGCAAUUCUUCAUUUUUUAUUUC